Long non-coding RNA from Cannabis sativa, 5229 nucleotides. RefSeq lists it as uncharacterized. Lineage: Eukaryota; Viridiplantae; Streptophyta; Magnoliopsida; Rosales; Cannabaceae. The record is from RefSeq and is a predicted model, not a curated record. The transcript is spliced from 3 exons.
UUUAAAAUUUACGUUUCAUUUUUGUGUCUUUUAUUAACUCUCGAGUAUUGUGUUAGCUAGCUUUUAAAAAUGACACAAAAUACAGUGAGAGUUGAUAACUCACGCAACAAAAAGUAAAAUCCCUAAAGCCUAAAAACGCAAAAUACUCAGCUCAGCCCUCUCUCGUGCGAUUCUCUUCAGACGCUUCAGCCUCACAGCCGCAUCUCUCUCAGAUGACGGUGAGAUCUCACCAAACCACCUCCUCUUCAGACGGUUUCUUCUCUAUUCUCCUCUUCGGUGGUCUGUGGUCUCUCUUCUCCCGUGAGUUCCUUCGUACAGCCUCCGGUGGUUUCUGAGUUCCUUCCUUCAAAACCUCCGGCGGUCAAUUCUUCUCUUACAAUCGUUACUUCAUAGAGGGUAUUACGCGAAGAAGAGUUUGCACCUGGUAAAAAUAUCAAUGGGUCAACUUUUGACACUUCGGACAGUGCUAAACUUCUUGUUCUCCGCCUUCAUUCUCGUUGGGUAGUUGCUGCUGGUGGAUUCUUAACACAUUCAGUGCCUUUAUAUGCAACUAGUGAUGCUCUUUUAAUUAUUUUAGUUUUUAUUGUUAGUAGAAAUGAUACGAAGUGUACAUGCAUAAACUCAAAUUGGAAAGUAGAUAGAGUGGUCUCACCAAGUUAGACGUUGCCAUUUUGUUGAUCCUAGAUGGGAAUUUAGCUUGGGGGAUUUCUUUGUAUUUUUUAAUUCAAUAUGAAAGCUGGUGAAUGGGGAAGUUAGUUGUAGUUAUCUGAUGCAAUUCAUCUUAAUACCAGGUGUAGAGGUAUCGCCACUUUGUUCAUAUGCUGGAGAGAAUCUAGAAGCUAUAUGUCGUGGCAGAACCUUUGAUGCUUCCUCACUAUAUACUUCUUGCUAGAGUAGUCUUCAAAGUCAUCAUAGUACAAAUCAAUGGCUAAUAAAGCAACUUUGGCUCCUCCUUUUAUCCUUCACUUCAGGUUCGUUUGUUCACCCUUCCUUAAUCUCAGCAGUAAUAGUAGUUACGAUUCCUAUAAAGAUAAAUUUUCUCAGGGUUACCUUUAUUUGGACUGUUAUUUUAAUUGAUUUUAUUAUAUGAACUAUUUUUUUUUUUUUUUAGUUUCAGUAAUCUUUUCAAAUCUUUGGAGUUUGGAACUCAGAUUUUAGGUAGAAAACAAAUGAAUUAAUUCCAAAGCCUUUCAUUUUAUUUUAUUUGGAAUUUUAAGAAAAAUGAGAGAUUAUAUUCUUAGAAAAAUAGAUUUUUUUUUUUCGAAUUUAAAUAAAAUCUUAUAACAAAUCAAAAAAAGAAAUGAUUGGAUGAAAUCUUAUUAUAGAAUUAUAGGAACAUAUUUUCCCCAUACUUUUCACUAUUGUUUAGUAAAAUGUUUUCAUACUAAAAUCUGACAUCCAAACAUAGCAUCUUUUUUCAAUGUAAUUUCAGCUACUUUUAACUUUGGCUACUAUUUUGGAACUUAAGAUCAAAAAUUUUAAUUUUUUCGUGGGAUAUAAUUAUUGAAUAUCUUAAUCUUAUCAUGUACCCUCUGCAUUAUUUGUUUCAAUAAAAUUUGGUACAGUUUCUCUUUCAUCAUUUAAGGGUUACUUUCUUUUCUUAAUUAAAAUGAUUUAGCCUCAAAUGGAGUCCUUUCAAAAUGGGCACAACAUUACCAUAAUUAUUGCCUUAUCAUGCAAUGCAUGCCUCUGAUUUAACUUUGGUACAGUUUUAGCAUCGAUUCUAUUAACAAUUUUUGUAUUAUGUGAUCAGUUAAUAAAAUCGAUUACUAAUUUUAUAUAAGUUUUAAAAAUGUUAUUUUAAUUUUUUGUUUUGUAUUAUGUAUUUACUAUUAUAUAGAAUUAUUCUAAAAUUUGAUAAAGCAGGUGGGGAAAAUUACAUGAAAAUUUACAAUUUUCUCUUACCUACAUUUGUGCUUCAUUUUAUAAGUGACACAAUAGGUAAAAAAAAAAAUAUUUUCGUAAUGGAUAUGACAUUUUUAAACCGACAUAAUUAGUGUUUUGUGACAGUUUUAAAUUGCCAUUAUAAUUUUGCGUUAUUUCUAAACCGACGCAGAAGAUAAAAUAGAAAAGUACAUAUUUUGCGUCAGUUUCUAAAUGUAGAUAAUUAUAUUUUACGUCGUUUUAAAAACGAUGCUAAUAAAAAAUUAUUUGCAUGGUAUAUACGUCAGUUUUCGUAACUGACAUAAAUUCUUUAAAUGACACUUAAAAAUUGACGGGAAUUAUACUUUUUGUAGUAGUGAUGAGUCUAUAUUUGUCUUAUAAAUAUGAUCAGUAUUAAUAUUCUUGAAUUGAUUCUGUAAAUUAUUGAUUAGUGUGAUUUUAAUUGUUUUGGAUAUUUUAAAGACUAAUCAUGCAUUUAAAGUCAUUCGAAGGGAUGUUAGUAUAUUUUGGUGGAAAAUAGUGGAAGUUGGGGAGCUCAAUUUACAAGGCAAAGCUUAAUUACAAAUUUUGACAAUCAUAGAAGAAAAAUUGGACUUGGAACUCAAGAUGAAAAUUUUAGAUCUCAUUCUUAGCUUUUCGGAAUAUCUUGAAUCGUCUAAUUCUGAGUUGUAUUGAAGAAGUUAUGGCCAAAAUAUUAAUCAAUAGCACCGUACUUAUUAUUUUUUUUUUUAAAAAAAAUCCUCAUUCCAAGGGGAUUCAUCUAUUUUUUCAAGCACUAUAAAUAGAACCUUUUAUGCUGCUAAUUUUAGAAUCCUAGAGUUACAAAAUUGAGAUAGAAACUUAGAGAGAGAGCAAGGAAGAGACGAAGACCACGACUUCGAAGUGUUCUUCAUCGUAGUUCUUUUCUUCUCCUUAAACUCUUAUUAUUUAGUAUGAUUAUCAUUAUAAUGUGUAGUUUUGAGUAUUUUUCUUUAGUUAAGGGUUAUAUUAAAACCCAAGACAUGAAUUCUUGAAUGUUAAUUUCUAGUUUCUAUUAUAUAUCAAAUUGCUUCAUUUUUUCUAUGUUCAAUGUCAUGAUUAUUGUUUUAAUUUUAUCUUGACGGCCGUUAAAUUAGGUUUUAUUUUAAUCUACCGUCAUCUUAAGAUUACUAUUCACCUAAUAGUUUAGAAUUCUAAGUGUUUGUGAUAAAUUGAAAUUUUUAAUAUUGUCAAAGGUAUUUUGAUUGUGAUGAAGAAUAACACCUAGGUUAAAUGAAUUACAUGCUUCAUUAAUUUAUUGCCUAGAUCAAUCAAUCUAUCUCCAUAAAUCUCAAAGUUUUAUCUAAGUUAAAUAAAUUGUGUGCUUCGUAGAUUUACUGCUUAGGUAAAAGAGUUAAUUAUUAAGCGCUUCACCUUGAUUACAUGUAAUAUGGAUAUUAGGAUAAUUGAUUGCUUCAACUUUAUCUGUGGGAUUAAUAGUUUGAUUAGAAAUUGAAAUUACAUUCAUGAAUAGGAAUUAGGAACGAUUGUUGAGGGUGGGGAAUAACCUUUAAUUAGUUUCUCAUGUCAGAGUCCCAAUUUUAAUUUGUCUUUUUUUUAUUUAUGAUAUUUUUCUUCUAAAUAUAAAAACCUCUUUUUCUAACUUCUGUCACUAAUUUUUGAGUAAUUAAAUAAACAUAGUACUCGUGGGAUCGACCCUUACAUACAAUUAUACUAAAAUAAUUAGAGGCAUUAGAAAUAAAUAUUAGUAAAUUUGUUGUGGCUUACGAUACGCAUCAAAUUUUUGGCAUCGUUGCCGGGGACUAUUGUUUUAUUUUAUUAUUUAUAUUUAAUUUUUGUUACUAAGUUGUUCUUCUAGUUGUGGUUUAAAUUUUUAGAUCUUUCUUUAGAAAUAUGACGAUGUACAAUUGAUCCAUAUUAUACAUUGCCACAAGUGUAUCAAUAUGAUCCCUGUUAUGACACUUACACAUACAAUUAACAAUGGGGAGAUUAUUCUAGCACUUCCAACAGUGAGAUCAAUCAAUAUGUUCAACCAACUUCUUACUAUCCUCCUGUAGCACCACAAGAUCAAGAUCAUUCUCUUAUUGAUCUGCUCAACACUUUGGAGGCUUCUACUACUCGGAUGGAACAAAAUAAUGUAGAAUUUCAACAAUCUACUCAUGUUGCACCAUAUAGUGAAAAACCUACUACUGUUGAGCUCAUUGAAAUGUUAGCAGCUAAUUUCUUACAGUUUCAGCAAAGCUAUCAUGAGACUAUGCAGAGCCUUCAACGAUAUCUGCAAAAGUUAGAGAAUCUUGCAGAGUCAAUGGAAACAUCUAUGAGUGAGUAUGAAAUUUAAUGUUUAAACUCUAUGCCUUCACAAGUAGAGAGUAACCCAAUAGAGAAUGUCAGUAGCAUCACUAUCUAAAGUGAUACACAACUUGAAUUACCACCACAUCAACAAUUUAAUGAUUUGAUUCUAACUAAAGGAGUCAACAAUUUAUUCUUUGAAGAGUCAUCUCCACCAAGAGUUGAAUCUCAUACUUUAGUUGGUCUACCAUCACUGAAAAAGCUAUACAAACCAAUUGUACUAACUUAUGUCACUCCACCUUUUCCAAGUAGAUUGAAAAAUUCUAAGAAAAAGGAGCCCAUCUAGGACAUUCUUGAAACUCUUCUGAAAGUUGAGGUAAAAAUUCCAUGUCUUUAGGUAAUCAAAGAAGAGUUUGUGCUAACAUUCUUAAGGAGUUGUGUCCAAUAGAGAAAAAGUUUAAUGGUGGUGAGAAAGUAAGUUUGGGGGAGAAGGUUGUUGUUCUCUAAAGAAAAUUAUUGCCUAAGACAAGGACAAUUCAAUGCACAAUUAGUAAAACCGGGUUUGAUCAUUGCAUGAUAGAUUUAGGAGAAAUUAUUAAUAUGAUGUCUUAUUGCAAUUUUGCUUCUUUAUAUCUUGGUUUAUUAAGAGAAACGCAGGUUUUAAUUCAAUUGACUAACCAGACUAAUGCUUAUCCUUUAGGGAUAAUUGAAGAUAUUUUUGUGCAGGCUAAUGGACUUGUCAUUCCAAGUGAUUCUUACAUAAUUGAGAUGGAAGAUGAGGGUGAUCCCAAUCCUACAUCAAUUCUAUUUGGGAGACCAUUCUUACUCCAUACUAAGAAGUUGGAUAUGAAAGCAUGGAUACCUACAAUGGGAUUUAAUGGUUUAGUAAUUAAGUAUAAUGUGUUAGAUUCCAUUGAUAAAUACAUAAACAAUGAGUCUUUGUUAGAAGACCCAACAUGAAGACAUGAGCACAACAUGUAGUCGAGCUAACAACGUUAAAACAAAGCGAACUUAUAGGAGUUUUUCUCCCUUUUCUUUUUAUUUUGUAUUGAUUUUAUUUGAUUGAGCCUUCGUGUC